GAUGACGAAAUGUACAUUUUAUUAUUGUGGCUCACUUCGUGUUGAGGGGUCUUGCGCGUGUGAUGGCGUGGGCGAUUGGGUUGCGUUGAGAUGUAAAGAGACAGACUUAGCUGUGAGGUGAAUCUGGGGCAAGGUCAGGUUGACAACAGCUUGUUACAUUAAAAGGUCUACUGGUAUGGCAUCAGAGGAUAUUCAUGACUGGUGCAGCCAGAACUUCAAUCUCACUCUUGAGGACAUCAUCAACAACUUAGGCGAUGAGUCGUCUCUGCUGGAUGGGCUGGACGGGUCGGCCAUGGACCUGACGCCGCCAGCGCCGGCCGCGGCCGGGCCCGACUGGACGCCGGCCGAAGCCGGCCCGGUGAAGCAGGAGCCGGC
Molecule: long non-coding RNA, 375 nt
Organism: Pollicipes pollicipes
Lineage: Eukaryota; Metazoa; Arthropoda; Thecostraca; Pollicipedomorpha; Pollicipedidae
Exons: 3
Source: RefSeq, a predicted model, not a curated record